UACCAGCACCCCGAGUGGUCGGGACGUUUUAUUGGGCCUAAAGGCAUCCGUAGCCGGUUCUACAAGUCUUCCGUUAAAUCCACCUGCUUAACAGAUGGGCCUGCGGAAGAUACUAUGGAGCUAGGAGGCGGGAGAGGCAAGCGGUACUCGAUGGGUAGGGGUAAAAUCCGUUGAUCCAUUGAAGACCACCAGUGGCGAAGGCGGCUUGCCAGAACGCGCUCGACGGUGAGGGAGUGAAAGCUGGGGGGAGCAAACCGG
Molecule: ribosomal RNA, 258 nt
Filed under: uncultured bacterium
Lineage: Bacteria
Description: partial 16S ribosomal RNA
Rfam family: Archaeal small subunit ribosomal RNA
Source: RNAcentral